This 578-nucleotide ribosomal RNA is filed under the name Sphingomonas sp. VPMK20. RNAcentral describes it as "bacterial SSU rRNA". It matches the Rfam family "Bacterial small subunit ribosomal RNA", at positions 57 to 682 of the family's 1533-position model. The record is from RNAcentral. Lineage: Bacteria; Pseudomonadati; Pseudomonadota; Alphaproteobacteria; Sphingomonadales; Sphingomonadaceae.
GCAGUCGAACGAGAUCUUCGGGUCUAGUGGCGCACGGGUGCGUAACGCGUGGGAAUCUGCCCUUUGGUUCGGAAUAACAGUUGGAAACGACUGCUAAUACCGGAUGAUGACGAAAGUCCAAAGAUUUAUCGCCAGAGGAUGAGCCCGCGUAGGAUUAGCUAGUUGGUGUGGUAAAGGCGCACCAAGGCGACGAUCCUUAGCUGGUCUGAGAGGAUGAUCAGCCACACUGGGACUGAGACACGGCCCAGACUCCUACGGGAGGCAGCAGUGGGGAAUAUUGGACAAUGGGCGAAAGCCUGAUCCAGCAAUGCCGCGUGAGUGAUGAAGGCCUUAGGGUUGUAAAGCUCUUUUACCCGGGAUGAUAAUGACAGUACCGGGAGAAUAAGCUCCGGCUAACUCCGUGCCAGCAGCCGCGGUAAUACGGAGGGAGCUAGCGUUGUUCGGAAUUACUGGGCGUAAAGCGCACGUAGGCGGCUUUGUAAGUUAGAGGUGAAAGCCUGGAGCUCAACUCCAGAACUGCCUUUAAGACUGCAUCGCUUGAAUCCAGGAGAGGUGAGUGGAAUUCCGAGUGUAGAGGU